AUUUGCCAAGUAUGUUUCCGUUAAUCAAGAACGAAAGUUAGAGGUUCGAAGGCGAUCAGAUACCGCCCUAGUUCUAACCAUAAACGAUGCCAGCCAGCGAUCCGCCGAAGUUCCUCCGAUGACUCGGCGGGCAGCUUCCGGGAAACCAAAGCUUUUGGGUUCCGGGGGAAGUAUGGUUGCAAAGCUGAAACUUAAAGGAAUUGACGGAAGGGCACCACCAGGAGUGGAGCCUGCGGCUUAAUUUGACUCAACACGGGAAACCUCACCAGGCCCGGACACCGGAAGGAUUGACAGAUUGAGAGCUCUUUCUUGAUUCGGUGGGUGGUGGUGCAUGGCCGUUCUUAGUUGGUGGAGCGAUUUGUCUGGUUAAUUCCGGUAACGAACGAGACUCUAGCCUGCUAAAUAGACGAUUUCCGGUAUCCACAAUAGUGCUACCGGCGAAAUCAAUAUCUUCUUAGAGGGACAGGCGGCUUUCAGCCGCACGAAACUGAGCAAUAACAGGUCUGUGAUGCCCUUAGAUGUCCUGGGCCGCACGCGCGCUACACUGAAGGAAUCAGCGUGUACACCCUGGCCGAAAGGCUCGGGCAACCCGUUGAACCUCCUUCGUGCUAGGGAUUGGGGCUUGCAAUUGUUCCCCAUGAACGAGGAAUUCCCAGUAAGCGCGAGUCAUAAGCUCGCGUUGAUUACGUCCCUGCCCUUUGUACACACCGCCCGUCGCUACUACCGAUUGAAUGAUUUAGUGAGGUCUUCGGACUGGUGCGCGGCGACCGCCUGCGCGGCCGCCGAUGCCACCGGGAAGAUGACCGAACUUGAUCAUUUAGAGGAAGUA
This 829-nucleotide ribosomal RNA is filed under the name Tacua speciosa. RNAcentral's name for it is "SSU rRNA". It matches the Rfam family "Eukaryotic small subunit ribosomal RNA", at positions 953 to 1784 of the family's 1831-position model. The record is from RNAcentral. RNAcentral also lists the same sequence under 2 other names. Lineage: Eukaryota; Metazoa; Arthropoda; Insecta; Hemiptera; Cicadidae.